This 872-nucleotide ribosomal RNA is filed under the name uncultured archaeon. RNAcentral's name for it is "bacterial SSU rRNA". It matches the Rfam family "Archaeal small subunit ribosomal RNA", at positions 1 to 879 of the family's 1478-position model. The record is from RNAcentral.
UUCCGGUUGAUCCUGCCGGAGGCCAUUGCUAUCGGUGUCCGACUUAGCCAUGCGAGUUGUACGUAUAACGUAGCAAACUGCUCAGUAACACGUGGCCAAACUGCCCUAUGGACUGGGAUAACCUCGGGAAACUGAGGCUAAUCCCGGAUAGUACAUCCAUCCUGGAAAUGGGGGAUGUGUGAAAUGCUCCGGCGCCAUAGGAUGUGGCUGCGGCCGAUUAGGUAGACGGUGGGGUAACGGCCCACCGUGCCGAUAAUCGGUAUGGGUCAUGAGAGUGAGAACCCGGAGACGGACUCUGAGACACGAGUCCGGGCCCUACGGGGCGCAGCAGGCGCGAAACCUUUACACUGCACGCCAGUGCGAUAGGGGGACACCGAGUGCGAGGGCAUAGAGCCCUCGCUUUUGUAGACCGUAAGGAGGUCUACGAAUAAGGGCUGGGCAAGACCGGUGCCAGCCGCCGCGGUAACACCGGCAGCCCAAGUGAUGGCCGAUAUUAUUGGGCCUAAAGCGUCCGUAGCUGGCCGCGCAAGUUCGUCGGGAAAUCCACUCGCUUAACGAGUGGGCGUCCGGCGAAAACUGUGCGGCUUGGGACCGGAAGAUCCAAGGGGUACGUCCGGGGUAGGAGUGAAAUCCUGUAAUCCUGGACGGACCACCGAUGGCGAAAGCACCUUGGAAGGACGGAUCCGACAGUGAGGGACGAAAGCUAGGGUCUCGAACCGGAUUAGAUACCCGGGUAGUCCUAGCCGUAAACGAUGCUCGCUAGGUGUGGCGCAGGCUACGAGCCUGCGCUGUGCCGUAGGGAAGCCGUGAAGCGAGCCGCCUGGGAAGUACGUCUGCAAGGAUGAAACUUAAAGGAAUUGGCGGGGGAGCAC